RNAcentral lists this ribosomal RNA (234 nucleotides) under uncultured bacterium. RNAcentral describes it as "partial 16S ribosomal RNA". It matches the Rfam family "Bacterial small subunit ribosomal RNA", at positions 15 to 240 of the family's 1533-position model. The record is from RNAcentral.
GAUCAUGGCUCAGGAUGAACGCUAGCUACAGGAUUAACACAUGCAAGUCGAGGGGCAGCAUGAACUUAGCUUGCUAAGUUUGAUGGCGACCGGCGCACGGGUGAGUAACGCGUAUCCAACCUUCCGUUUACUCAGGGAUAGCCUUUCGAAAGAAAGAUUAAUACCUGAUAGUAUGGUGAGAUUGCAUGAUAGCACCAUUAAAGAUUUAUUGGUAAACGAUGGGGAUGCGUUCCA